RNAcentral lists this ribosomal RNA (274 nucleotides) under uncultured bacterium. RNAcentral describes it as "partial 16S ribosomal RNA". It matches the Rfam family "Bacterial small subunit ribosomal RNA", at positions 523 to 796 of the family's 1533-position model. The record is from RNAcentral.
AUACGGAGGGUGCAAGCGUUGUUCGGAAUCACUGGGCGUAAAGGGCGCGCAGGCGGUUUUACAAGUCAGAUGUGAAAGCCCACGGCUCAACCGUGGAAGUGCAUUUGAAACUGUAAGACUUGAGUAUCAGAGGGGAAGGUGGAAUUCCCGGUGUAGAGGUGAAAUUCGUAGAUAUCGGGAGGAAUACCGGUGGCGAAGGCGACUUUCUGGCUGAAUACUGACGCUGAGGCGCGAAAGCGUGGGGAGCAAACAGGAUUAGAAACCCUUGUAGUCC